Molecule: unclassified non-coding RNA, 471 nt
Filed under: Acromyrmex echinatior (Panamanian leafcutter ant)
Lineage: Eukaryota; Metazoa; Arthropoda; Insecta; Hymenoptera; Formicidae
Description: uncharacterized LOC105152365, transcript variant X3
Source: RNAcentral
GAUAUUCCGGAAAAUGAAGAAGCAAAGACAGCAGACGAGUCAGCAUGCAUAUGAAGAAGAAUCGAGGAAGGUCGAAGAUGGCUUUUUACGAGAUGGAAAAAAAGCAAUCAAGAUUAAUUCUAUCUCGAAUGUUGCAAAUAUCGAGCGAUUGGAAACAUCGGAAUAUCAGAGCAGACGAAGCGAACAUACGAUAAAGUAAAUGUCCCAUAUGACUGAUACAGUACUUCCGUUCUGGCGCCAUGUUCAAGUCGGAGAAGCUUCUUUUCCAAAACUUCAUAUAGACUAAAGCAUAAACACAAGACUGCUGGAUCAAUGAGCAUCUAGCAUAAUGUCGCCAUAUUGAUUUACAUAAGAUGCUCAUUGAUUUAGCGGUCUUAUAUUAUACUCUGUUAUGCAUUUCAUGUGUGAAGCUCUUAACACAUUCUUCAUAAAUUUAAAAUUAAAGAGAAAAAUAUAACAAAUAACAUGUGA